CAAUGUAUAGAAUGCAGACUUUCGAAGCACUCUGUCUAUUGGUCCUCGGAUGCAAUUUCCUUGCCUUUAUCGAAGGACUCACCACCUUGACACAGUACACAAUCGAGAAAUUCACCAAAUUGGUACUAAAUUGAAAUUAAACUAAUUUAGACUAUUAAUGCAUAAUAUGGAAUGCAAAAAAAUGCACUGGUAACUAUCUAAACUCGAUAUUGGCCUAAUUCGUCCUAUCACCCGAUUAAAUUACUAACGAGUCCAAUUUAAUCCCAAAUUACUCCAAAUCGUUCCAAUUCUUUUUCAAUAUCUUAAUUCACCAAAUUCAAAUCAAAUAACCUAAAAUUUGGCAAAACUAUCUUCACUUUUCUUCUUAAAAUUUUUGGCCAAUAAUGGUGCAUUAACACCGUGAUUUUUCCUACUACUUUCCCACACCAUAAUUCAUCAUUUCUUAACCAAUUCUCCUAGAAUAAAAAUCAAACUCAUCCUCACUCAAUACAUGGUAAAUUCGACCAUUAAUGGUUGUGGGAGAAAAUAAAUUCUUUUCUUGUUGUUUUGUUUCUAAAUAUGCUAAACUAACUAAAAACACUAACAUAACUUAAAAUCAAAUCAAUCCAACAACUUUCUCUCUCCUAACCCAUUUUGAUCAGCCAACAAUUCAUCAUAAAAACAUGUAAUUUAAGCAUGGAAAAUAAGGAGAAAUGCUUAAGGAAAAUAGAUUUCAAGCUUAAGUUGAAAAAUCCUACCUUUUUCACUUGUUUUCUUUGAUUUUCCACACUUUUUCUCUUGAAAUUCCUCACCUAGGGUUUGUUCUUCCUUUCUUUCCCUCUCUUCCUUGCUUGGCCGAAUAUUUGGAGAGUAAUGGGCUGAUUUAUGCUGAUUUUUAAGUUAAACAAUAAAUUAUCCUAAGCUUAACACAUGGCAUUUUCUUAUUGGUCCAUUUUUAAAAUUUUAAAAAUUUAAACAUUUUAUCUCCACCACAUGAUUAGUCAAAGGUCAAAAAUGAGGAUAAAGGAAGACCAUGUGCUGGAAAAUUAUCCUGGUGGUGGAAAAUUAUAAUUUUGCCCCUAAGGUGGCAAAAUUACUAUUUUACCCUUAUACUCUAAAUUAUACCGAAAUUAACAUUUUCCACUUCUAAACCUCAAAUCAUACUCCAAUACUCAAAUCAUACUCCAAUAAGUCAAAUGGGGCCAAAUAAAUCUUUUCUAAAAAUUACCAUUUUGUCCCCAAGUGGCAAAUGACCAUUUUGCCCCUAGAUAGUGAAAAUUUCGAUUUGACUCCAAAUUGAUCCUCAAACUCCGAAUUACCAUUUUGAGUCAUCCUUGGACUGUGACGAUCUUAAUCUCACCUUAAAAUUCCUAUUUGAUCUAGUUCAAGGUUUAAAUCAACUUUGUUGUACCUCUAGGUACAAUACCGACUUUUGAAAAUUUUUCGGGACUCUCUUGGCAUGCAAUCAUGCUAUCAUCACAUGUAUGUCAUGACUAGUAUUUUAUAAGGUCAAGUUUUACAAAAGUCAUUUCACAAAUUGCUUAUAUUUUCACAUCUUGGUUUACUAUUUUGAUUAAACCCUUUCUACCAUCAUUACUUAUAUAUUUCUUGAAAAUAUUCUUCUUAAAUUGCUUUUAUUUGAUUUACACUUGAAAAACAUUUUAUAGUAUUUCAAAGUGAUUAUUUACCUAUGUUUAUUUGAGCAGACUUGAUUAAAAUUUGUAUAUUCAUCAAGGCUUAUACUAGAACUCCUUUUGCAAGCUUUCAAAAUGAGUUUCUCAUUUAGGAUCGACUAUCAGGUCUUUAUAAUUGAGUAUAUAUUUGUCUAAAUAGUUUUUGAAAAGGUGUAACAAGGUGAAAUACAACCAUAGUCGACUAGAGCUUCUCCCUAGUCAUCUAUAGCAAUUCAUACUUCAUUCUUUAAAGUUUUUAAAGUCCAAUUCACCCCUCUCUUGAACAUUCUUAUUACUUGAUUCAUCAAGCUAACAUUUUUUACAAUGGUUUUUAAUUACUAAUUAAGAGUAACCUUUGAUGUGUAAAAGUACAUUUCUGCUAUAAACGUAAUGCUAAACAAAAACUGGUAAAAGUACCUAAUUUAGUCCUUAUAUGAUAGAUCUUUGUUCAAUUUAAUCUCUAUACUUUACAUUUUUGUUCAAUUUAGUCCAUAUGACAUGGCACCAAAAAACUAAUCUGGAUAAAAAAAAUAUUGGGCAUGCCACGUCGUUGUUGCCAUGUCAACAUGUCAACGUCAAGCCAACCAUGUUAGCAUAGUCUGACAUGUCAGUGCCACAUCAACACCAUUAACAGUCAAUUUGGAUGGCGUUAGGGGGGGACUUGAUUAUACAAAAGCUCAAAAUACAAAGACUAAAUUGACCAAAUUUAAGGUAAAAAGACUGAAUUGACGAAAGCUCGAUAGUAUAGGGACUUAUGAGAUACUUUAACCAUUUUUAAUUUGGUCCCCGCCCCACAUCAUAAGAAUGAACAAUAAUAACAUAUUGAUUUGAAACUCUGAACAAUAAUAACAUAUUGAUUUGAAACUCUAAUGUAACUCCAAUAUGUAAAAUUAGUUCAUGUUCAAGAUUUGUCAACUUAGAUUGCAAAUCAUUAGCAUGCCUAACAAAUUUGGUCUUAAGUGAUUCCUUAUCUUUAAAAUGAAUUGCAAGUUCUUUAAGCUUCCUAGUUUGGUCUUUGGCCGAUGUACUAAAGGAUGAUUCAAGGUUAAUGAAUUUGCAAACUUGUCCAAAGUAUUCCUGCACUAUAUUCCUUAAUGAGAAUGAAUCAACAUUUUCGACCCUUCUUAUUACAUUAAGAACCUAUUGAACCUCCACAAUAAGAGAAGAAACUUUAUUGAAGGGAAAUUUAACGAUCUUUGGUUGAAUACUCUCCCAUAAGGUCAUGACAAGCUUUGAAUGACAAUCAUGGAUCACCCUAUCAACAUUAAAUUUAGAAACUUCUAGAGGUGCAAAAUGACUAACCUCGGCACACAACUUAGUCGCACUCUUAGAAGCAUCACCAAUUUCUUUAGCAAUUACAUAAGGAAAAGUAUUUUCUUAAUUUAAGGACGUGUCUGAAAUCUGAAGCAAAACAAUUUCCUAUCUCAGUUGCAAGCUUGUUAAAUCCAUGAGGAUUAGAAACUAAAGCUUUAAUAUUAGUAGGAUUUACCUCAUCAAUAACCUUUUUGGCUAAGUCUUAGCUUUGAAGAUAAGAAUAAAUAAAUAAAUAAAUAAAUAAAAGUUAUUCCCAUAAAAUAGAAAGAAAAAAAUCAGAAAUUUAUGAUAUAGUUACCAAAUCAUCAAAAAUUUCUAGAAGUAAAAAGCAACUAGGAACAUUUUCCAGAAAUGAAAAACCAAAAGGGUAUGAUACCUUUUGGUACUUUGGUGUGGUUCACUGUCAAUGUCUCUCACAAUCAAUUUCACUACCAUAGUCUUCAAUAGCUGUUUUUUUCAAGAGUUCCUUAUUUAGCACUUGUAUGUUGAAACAAUCGAAAGCUUUGUAUUUUUUAAGGUUUAUUGCAUUCUCUACUAGAGACAUUUGUUGCUACAAGCACUUUAUUCUUGUCUUGUUCAAUUUUGGAAGGCCUUUCCUUUUGUUGCCUUGAUCGUAUGGUUAGUGUUUGAUGGGUACUAGAAAUCAAAGCUUCGAUACUGUAGACACUACCUAUAUUAUCUUUUAUCUUUUCUACCUUUAAGAAUUAAUUAUCAUUACCAUAGUUUAAUUUUAUUCACUUAUUAUCUUCAAGUUAAUUUAGACUUAAUUUAAUUUCUAUUCCUAUUUUUGUAUAGACUAACUUUCACUAAUGUCAUGGGCCAAUGUCCAGUCCGAAAUUGAAAAAUUAAGCUUUUAGGUCUUUGGGCAGCUUUGAGCACAUUGGUGGUCCAUAUCAAAAACUAGUCUAAUAAAACUAAUGCAAUUGAGGAUGGAUCAAAACAAUUAAAACAGAUUAAAACACUAAUCAAAGAUUAAAAUUUCAAACAAAAUAUGGAAUACUUUAGAAACAGAUAAAAUAAAUAAAGCAUAAUAAUAAAAAAAGGCUAGACAACUGGCAAGGUGCGGACACAAUACGAUAUGCCAGACUCGAAAAACUCGCGUCUAGCAGAAAGUGGAAACGACACCCCCAAGAUUGGAAUUGGGUAUAAAAACACUACUAUAUCAACUACAAAGAGGGGGGGGGGGGGAAACAAAAAAAAUCAAAAAAACCCUAAGAGUUCUAGCAACUAGAAGCCACAAAAAAAAAAAAAAAAAAAGAGAAAGAAAGGGAAGCUUUGGGUUAUCUGCCGCCGGUUAGAAAGGAAAAGCUUGGGGUUAGAGUCACCGGUCUGUAAGGUUAGAAAAAUGGGAGCUUUGGGUUAUCUGUCGCCGAUUAGAGAGGAAAAGUUUGGGGUUAGAGUCGCUGGUCGGUAAGGUUAGAAAAGGGGGAGCUUUGGGUUAUUUGCCGUCGGUUAGAGAGGAAAGAUUCGGGGUCUAGUUGCCACUAGUGAUAUUAAAGAGAGAGUUGAUGAAAGAGCCAAAGGAAAAUGGGGAGAGAGUUUUAGAGCGUGACUGGUUUUAGGAAGGGAAAGAUAAAGAAGAGGCCUUCACCCUUUUGUACCUUAAACAGUGCACUUUGACCGGAGAAGAAGUGGGCUUCUGGGGCGGUUGUGGGCAUCUACGAAGUCUAGUUUUUGCUAAUCUAAACCCAAAUCUUUGUAUGUUUUGGACUCUAAAGUUAUUGGGUUUGAAUCUUUGAUGGUUGUUUUGAAUGGUUUUAUUUUAUGCAUUCUGUUUCACUUAUUUAUUUCAUUUAUUUUUAGGUAAACAAAAUUACAGCUUUUAUAAAAAAGGAUGUGAAAAACAUAUAUGGUACUUUUUACAAAUAUAAAAUCAACGGUAGGGGAAAGGAAAUUGUUAAAACAUCAAAAAGUAAAAAAAAAAUUAUAUUCAAGUAUAAAAUAGAUUAAAGUAGGCAUAAAGAUAUGAAAAGGGCAUGAAUAAAAAAAAAUAAUUUCUUUUAGGGUAAAUGACUAAAUACAUAUAGUCAGGAUGAAUGUAAGAGCAGAAAAAUAUUUAGUUAAAAGGAAAAUGAAUUUAGGUAGAUAAGAUAUAGAUGUAUACAGUAAAUAAAUAUUUAGAUUAUAAAUAAGGGUGAUGAUGAAUUAAAAUAUAAAAGGUAAGCAUUUAGCAGAAAAAGAGGAAUGGAAGGGAAUAUAAUAAAAGGGCAGUAAGGUGGAAGGCUAACCUUUAGUGUUCAUACACAUAGGAUAGUGCAAAUGGAGAGAAUACAAAAUUAUAUCGAUGAUGGGAUGAUUGGCCGGGACGCGAAGAGUUGCAAUUUUGGACUAAUUUUCCCUAGGUUCGAAAUCCAAAUUAGGGCUCUACCAGUAUGAUGGGAGGAUCUCGAUUUUAAGAUUUCAAGAUUUUUUUAAUUUUAAAUGAAUAAAAAUUACUAUACAAUAAAUUAGCCAAACAAAAUAUAAAUACAAAUGUGACAUAUAUAAGAGAAAAGAUGACAUAUAUUUAAGUUGUCCAAAGAUAAAAAUGAAAAUUGUGAAAAUGGUAAUACUCAUGACAUUAAAUAAAUAGAUAAAUAAUUAAAAUAUUUGAGGAUGGAAAAUUCCAAAUAAUAAAUAUGUUUAAAACAUAAAAUUUAAAUAUCUAGUUGUAUAAAAUACAUAUAGUAAUAAAUUUAUAAGUGUUAUGAAAAGGGAAUAGGGUAGAUAAUAAAAAGAGAAAAAUGGAAUAUACAUAUAUAAUUAUGAAAUUGGAUAUCUUGCUAUAGAUUUUGAGUGAAAAGAUAGUUUAUAUAGUAAAAAAUAUACACUUAAAUAACAUAGAAAUAUAUAUAAUUCAUAAUAUGCAUAAUUAUAAAAGGAAACAUAGAAAAAGAGAGUCCCUAAGAAAUAGCAUGGAAGACAUAGAAAAGCUUAGAAAUAAAAAAUAAUAAUAAAUAAUGAAUUCUAUAAGCAUAGCAUAUGUCUUUAUUGCAUCAUGCAUGUUAUGGCAUAUAGAUAAUGUUGUCCAUGAGUAUAAGUCCCGCUGAUGGGAUUUUUCGAAAAUCUUACGAAGGCGAGUUUCUCUCGAAAAGUUUCUUAGGUGAAAGGAUGUCUCCAGGUCUCACCAGUACGAUGGGAGGCUCGGGAAACAUCUUUAACAAAAAGGCUUUUGCUUGUAAUAGGUUUACAUUCAUAAAAAUAUUUUUUUUCCAAAAAGUGUACAAUACCCCUGAGGAUGGGAUUUAUUCGUCAAAUUUGCGAUGGUGAAUUUCUCGGAUAAUUCUCUAGAUGAGAGAAUAUCCCCGGAUCCCACCAGUAUGAUGGGCGGAUUCGAAAGAAUGUCCUCAAUAAAAGGUUACUCGUUCGACAUUAUUUGAAUUUUAUGCCAUGCGUUUUACAAUACCUCAUGUGCACACCAUACCUUAGAGUCAAAUAAAAUAUCUUAAUAAAAUAAAGGAUAAAAUAAGUGAAAAAUAACUAAGGAAACAUAAUAAAUUUAAGGAUUAAGGCCCUAAUAGGAUAAUUAAAAAUCAAAUGAUAUCGUUCAUGAAACGGGUGUCAUGGGGGUGCUAAUCCUUCCCUGGGCGUAAUCGCACUCUCGAACCUAAUCCUAAAAAAACGUAGACCAGUUUAAAUUUCUCUCGAUGAACUUAAAAUCAAUUUAAGAUCCCGUCGAUUAGAAUCGAGUCAAUAGGUGCCCAAUCACACCUAGAACAAAGAUUGGUGGCGAUUCCUAGUGUUUUUCCCACAUCUAGCUAUCGGGUUCUCGGACUCGCACGUUACGAAAAAUACCAUGUUCAUGGAAAGGAUUAUGAACUUAGGACCACCAUUCCAUAUAGCUCGCAAUAGCAUUGUCAUUAACAUUUAGAGGAUGAGCUGUAGAAAUUAAUUUUGACUAAGUAUUGGAAAGCUUGCAAGUUUGCCAAAAAUUUAAUAAGUCAUCCACUAUGCUAAAGUGAAUAUCAAUCUUAAGAAUCCCAAGGACAUCUUGGCAGAGCCAAAUUGUCUUCCAAAUCGAUAAGGAUUAUAAGGCUCUAUGAUGGUGGUGUUGUGGCAUCAAACAAGCAAGUAGUUAAAUGAACGCUAAAUAGUCAUGUCAUGAUGGAUUAAGUAGCUUAGUAUCGAUGAUAAUCUCAUCUUGAUUUUUGGAAUAUAAACUAGCAUCCCACACUAAUUUUGUGUGAAUCAAUUGAUGUGCUUCUUGUUCACAAAAAUAUUUGGGCCCGCUUUCUCCAGAAAACUUCACCAUCAUGGGUCCAAUUACUUCCUGUGGAGUUGGAAAGUGAGUUUCAAAAUAAUGACCCAACCACCCAUAAACAUAGUGACUAGGAAAACAUGCAUCUGAAGAACCGACUUGAGUAAAAAGGACAAUCUUAUUACUCCCUUGAAAGAUUUUGGCAAGUAUUGGAAUAACAAGGUUAGCAUUUUUAGUGCUAGUUGCUAUAAGGCUAGCGAUUUUAAAUAUCUAUGGUCGAAUGCUAGAUUCUAUGCUUGGAAAAACAAAUACAUAGAACCAACAAGAAAAGAAAGUAGCCAAGUAAGUAUCACUCGUAUAAUUUUCUUUGGCAUCUUUACAUUUCGGUGGACUUAAUUGUGCUGCAAGUAUUCAUUAUGCUACAUUUCGUUGGCAUCUCUAUAACCAUGUAAAUAAUGAAAGGCAGCAAAUAGGUAUUCACAACUUUUAUGAAGAAAUCUCCCUUUAGCACCAACACCAAUCAAUUCUUUGGUAGAUGAAAUGACUUCAUCAUAAAACUAACCAUGAAUAAAAAGACCACCCAAUUUGUGCAAAUCCCAUAAUGAUAGGGAAACUUCUCUAAAAGCGGUAUGAAAGGUGUUCGUGGUUGGACACCAACCUUUAUAGCAUGCUCGAAUAACAUCCUUGUUGUGAUCAUAAGCAUAUAAAGACACAUAAAUAGCAACAGUAAUAUUCAUAUUAUGUAAAAAUUUCUUACGCCGAAAUAACACAUCUUUAGUCUGUUCCCAAUACUUGGGGACAUAAUUAAAUUCCCCAUUAAUCUUGAAAGAAUUUCGUUGAUAAGCCUUAUUAGAAACUAUGACUAGAAGUCUUAUCAUGAAGAUAGGGUUAAAUACAUCGCACUUUUGAAGAAGAUUAUGAAAUUUUGAUUGACUUAGAAGUCUAUUCCUCCAAAAUUGUAGAGCAAUUGAUGAUUAAGAUGGCAAAAUUCGACCAAAUAUGCAUCUCAUCGUGGGAAGAAAUAACCCUUACCUCAUAUUUUAUUCUUUUUGGAAAGAAUGACAAGUUAAUUUUUGUAGUCCUUGAAGUAUACCAUGAUGAUUCCCAAUUGUGCUAUUAUAAAUAGCACCUUCCAAAGAUUAACAAUUGUGCUAUUAUAAAGAGCACCUUCCAAGGAUCAAUAAUUGUACUAUCAUAAAGAGCACCCUUUAACGAUUAGCAAUUGUGCUAUUAUAAAGAGCACACUCUAAGGAUCAAGUUGAAAUUGUACACUCACCAAGGCUAUUACUGCCAAUUUCUUCCAUUCCGAUUUGGGCUUGUCUUGAUUAUAGACUAAUAAAUUUGAGAUUUAACUGUCGAAAGGAAAUCAAAUCAUUAGUCUAAAUGAAGAAAGUAAUUAAUUAAGAAAUGAAAUCUAUAAAAAAAAUACAACAAAGGCACUGAGAAAAGAAAUCGGUAAAUAGUUAAUGGUGGUCUAAUGGGAUAUCAAGAUUAUUUAGCCUUAAAAUUAGAAGGAUUUGUUUGUAAUUAUCAAACAUUGAUAGCAUCUUUUCAUGCCUUUGGAGGCUAGGAGCCUAUGCUUGUUCUGCUUUAUUCUAAUGUAGGAUAUGGAUUUGGAAGACUUAUAUUAAAUAAUUUUUUUAAAAAAAGAGACAAAGUAUGAAAUUAACAAAUGAAGAACAAAGGAUAAUUAUAAUAUUGGUAAUGUGUAAUAACUUUAUUAUAUAGAGUUAUUUAGCUACAUUUUGGGAGGAUAAAAUAGCUAAGUCUUUGUGUUUUAAGUCAGUUUUAGAUAGUUUUUAGGUUUUUAGUUAAUUAAUUCAAAGCAUGCUGAUUUACUUUAAUUCUAGUAAUUUUAGUUCAAAUUCAUAUUGAAAGUCUCAAUUUAAGUCAAUGAUGAUUUGGUCUUUAAUAUUGUAGGUUCACCUAUGCUUAAAGUUAAAUGUUGGUGAACAAGGCAAUGGAGACUAAGUGCAGAUUUCUAUUGAACAUGUUGUGGUGAUUCGAACAUAACUUGAGCUACAAAGAUCCAAUCAACUUGAUUUUUAAACCAUUGCAAAGUUGAGAGGCAGACUUACAAUUUUCAUGUUACCAUUUAACCAAUAUCAGCAUUGAGGUAGGAGAAAGUUAUGUUGAAAGAUGAGGCACUGCAGCAGUUUCGUACCAAGGCAGUAAAAGUGGCUUUGCCACUGAUAAUUCUAUGAGAUAGAAUUAUUUUGUGUCAAAUUAUUCUUAAAAGUUAGCAAAGUUUUUGAGUUUAAGUUAGAAUUUAAUUAUUUUUAGUUAUUUUUUUAUUUAGUUUAUUUUUAUUAAGUUAAUUUAAUUUUAGAUUUACUUAUCUUAAUUUAGUUAUUAUUUAUUAGUUUUUAUAUUUUUGCAAGAUUCUAGGAUAAUAAGGCUUAAUUGGGUGAAAAAAGGUGUUUAAGGAAUUUAGAUCCAGUUCAUACAUGUCAUGGUAUUUUGAGCACACUUUUGCUCUAGAACUUCAAAUGAUGUGAUUCUUGGAUCAUUGAAAACAUAAGAGACAGAGCCACAACUUUCAUAAAGAUCACUUUGCCCAGUUUUGCCUUGAAAAGGGAUAAAAUGACAGUCAAAUUUGAUGGAGUGCAAUAGUUGACUAGACGAAGACAUGUAGUAAAUGGAGAAUCAUGGCUUAGAUGGAGUGUGCCACAGAGUCGAGCUAGAAAACUUGAAGAAACAAAACUGAAAAGAACAAGUUAAGGGCUGACUAAGUUCCUAUUGGGCCUUACACUUAUUCUAAGCCCAAAUUAAUAGUUUUUAGGCCAAAGUAGUUUAGUUUAAGUAGAAUUAGGUUAACUUAGGUUAUAAAUAGUUAGCUUAAGGAAAAGUUAGCCAAAUAUACAUGUACAAAUAUACAAACACGACCCCGAAGAUAUUCAAGAAGCUAGAAGUUGAGGUUGAAGCUUGGAGAGUAAGGUUGCAAAUAUUUGUUUUGUUUUCUUCUUUAACUUUUAUCAUUCUUGAAAACUAUUAAUGUCUAAACUUUAUAUGAUUUUAGUUUUUAUUUUCUCUAUGUCUAACUAAAUUUAUUUUUUUAGGAUUGCAAUUGAAUUCACAUGUAGUUUAGAUUUUUAAUUUCUUUUUAGUUUAUUUUAAAUGGGAUUUGGUUGUUUAUUCCAAUUUGUUCUUAAUGCUUUUAAUUGCCUGAUCACCAAUUAAAUUGAUUUGGGAACCUAAACAAACUUGAGAAAGGGAGUUUAGUGUAGACUAAAAUAAGAAUAGUGUAUGAUCCUAUUGAUUUGAUUAAAUGAAUAAAUUGAAUUGAUUUAUGUAUAGAAUAGGAAUAUACCUAUAUUCUGUAUGUAGCCAAAUUAGAGUCUGAACUUAAUGAGUUUAUUUUAAUUUCAAUUCACAUAAGAUUAUAGUGUUUUUGUCACGACCCGGUACUCUCCUCGAGCCCGUGACAACCGCCGCGGUGUCCCGAUCGACACUCAUUACCCAGAAUGUUAAUCGGAACCCCACAAGGCUUUAAUAUCAGUUUCUCAUUUCUCCUGUGAGUAACCGUUGCCAAAUAUCAUGUUCUAAAAAAUUUUAAGCUAUUUCCAACUUAAAUCAAUAAAAAAAAUGAUUUAUGUCUCACAGGGGCAUUUUGGUAAUUUUUUCCUAAAAAUUUCAAAACCAGCUAAAAAUGUAGUAUGCGAGUAUAAAACACAUAAUUCAUAAUCAAAAAUAAGUUUAAACAUCUAAAACAUUCAUUUAAAGUGAAAUUAUAACUAUUUAAAUAUAAUAAAAAUAUUCAAUAAAAUAUUUUAUUUUCUUAUAAAACAAUAUUUAUAGAGUUACUGGUAAAUAAUUUUUGUAGCGUAAAAGCUAAAUAAAUUCAUACAUACUGUAAUACAGAUAACCAAAGCAUAAGAUUUAAUUUACACUGACACGUGGGCCCACAAACGACCAAAAGUAUCAAAAGCGGUAAACCUACAGUUUUUUAGGAUGCAAGUCCAACUGUAGCCCUCAACGAAAUGAGCUAUUUACCGACUAUCCUGAGCCUGAAAUGGGUGGAAAGGAGGGUGGUGAGAUUAUAUAAACCUAGUGAGUAAACAAAUAUCAUCUAAAAUAUCUAAAGCUGAGUAAAUGGAGACAGAUAAAAUAGAUUAGAAUAAAAAUGAUUCACAGCAUUUCGAACUCAUUUUAAUAAGAUAAAAUAGAUUCAUUUCACCCAAAUAAACAACGAGGCUUAUGAUUUCCUGAAAAGUUUGGCUCGUGCCAAAAUCAUUCUCAUACUCAGUUUUUAGGGAUACCUUGGCCUGGGGCUAUCCCAACUGAGUCCGCCAAAGCUGUUAAAAAGUCAUGUACGCAUAAAUCAUGUUUUUUAUUUUGAAAACAUAGCCGUUCCUUGGCGUUGGCUAAGUUCACCCUCACGUGGUGGUUUGGCGUGAAGUGAACUCUAAAGUUGUACCUCGGGAGUUACCCUACGCGCCUCUCCAAUCGAGGUAAGAAUAUAAUGGGAUUUUGUGCCCCUCAAAAAGGUUGGUCCACAAAACCCGCACACCGCAGCAAGCUAAACCCACCAUACAAUAAAAUUUGCGAUAGCAUGAUAUGACAAUUAUUUUAUUUUACAGCCUCUCAAGGCAAAUCAACAAUUCAUACAUUUUCAGCACAUUUACCAAUUCAACCAUUUAUGCCAAUAUUAUCAUAAGCCAUUCAGUUCAAACCAUGAUUUAUAACACAACAAUUAGUCUCCAAUUACUCCAUUUUCAAAACCAUCUUUCAAUUUCAAGACAAUUUUAUAAAAUCAUUUCAUUUAAUCACAUUUUGCUUAUAAAACAUAAAGAUUUACCAUUUAAACUCAUUUUUCUAUCAAAUCACAAAAAUGAAUAAAAACUACUUUAGAUAAUUAAGACGAUAAUAAGGUUACUCACUAUAUCAGGAGUUUGAAUUUUUGAGUCCUCCGACUAUUGAUCCUUGGGUGUAAUUUCUUUGCCCUUUCUCGGAGGAUUCACCACCUAGACAUAAUGCAAAAUCAAGCAAUUUACCACAUUGGUGCUAAACCGUUAUAAAACUAAUCUAAACUUUAUAUGAAUGCAUGAUAUGGAAGGCGAAUUGUUCGGAUUAUCGUCUAUAUGCGAUGUUGGCCUAACUCGAUCUACCACCCGAUUAAUUGGCCAAUAUGUCCAAUUCAACUCCAAAUAAUUCCAUUUCUCUCCCAAUACUUCAAAUCACCAAACACAAGUCAAAAACAUAAAAUUUAGCAAAACCAUCAUCACAUUUCUUCUUGAAAAUUUCGGCCAUGGUGAGUGCAUCAACACUAUGAUUUUUCCUCCUUGAUUUUCUCAACAUAAUUCAUCAUUUCCUAACCAAUUCACUUGAAAUAAAAUCAAAUCCACCAUCAACACUCUACAAGGAAGAUUCAGCAAAUGAUGAACUCAUGAGGAAUAUGUGAAUUUCAAGAUUAAUUCUUACACUUAACACCAUAAACAACUAAAAACAUCCAUAUAUCUUAAAAAUCUAUCUAAAUCAUCAUCAAAUUCUCUCUCCUAGGGUUUGAUCAGUACACUAUCCUUCAUGAUAUCUUUUGAUUCAACCAUGGAAAAUGCAAAAUAAUGCAUAGGAAAGAUAGAUCACAAGCUAGAGUUAAGAAAUUUCACCUUUGAUGGCUUGAUUACUUGAAAUCCACCAAUUUUCUCUUGAAUUUUCACUCUAGGGUUUUGUUCUUCUUCUUUUCUUCCCUUUUUUUCCUUUGGCUGGCCAAGAGAAAUGAGUUGGG
This 12868-nucleotide long non-coding RNA is filed under the name Theobroma cacao (cacao). RNAcentral describes it as "long non-coding RNA (TCAC_LNC004652)". Lineage: Eukaryota; Viridiplantae; Streptophyta; Magnoliopsida; Malvales; Malvaceae. The record is from RNAcentral.